RNAcentral lists this long non-coding RNA (3896 nucleotides) under Panax ginseng (ginseng). Its description in RNAcentral is "long non-coding RNA (PGIN_LNC015917)". Lineage: Eukaryota; Viridiplantae; Streptophyta; Magnoliopsida; Apiales; Araliaceae. The record is from RNAcentral.
CUGGGCAUUGUUAAACAUUUAAGUGACUAAGCAAAUUUUUAGCUUGAGCUCUAACAUAUACAAUAAAGAGUGCAGUGUAAUAGCAUAUCUCGUGCUCUCUCUAUCUCUUCUGCUCCAAAAACCAAUUCAACUCUUUCUACUACUACUAAGCUACUAACGCAAAAAUUCUUCAAUUCUUGUAAAAUAUUUCAUCAAGUCUACUAGAAAUUGAAGCUCCGAUUGGAAGGGGGAGGAAAUUAAAAGUUUAUUUUCGGCAUGAGGGGGCUGGAUUUGGCUUAUAACAAAUCUGUAAUGGAAUCAAAACAAAAGUUCAAGUAGAUUAUAAUCAAAAAGGUACCUUAUUUAUUUAAUUUGUGUUCAUUGAAGAUUAAGUAAAUACAUGAGUGUAUUAAUCUAAUUAUUAUGCUUGAACUGUUGAUUGAAAAAUUAAGUAUGACAGAUAUAUAUUGCGUGAGAUUAUGCUAACUAGUAAUGGAAAUAUAGAUUUUUGUGGGCAUUGCAAAUGAGUUAUGAAAUAAAAGUUACUAAACUAACUUGUUAAUUAGUUAGUGUAUAUGUAUUCAUGUAUGGUUUUCGGUAAAAAAAUUGGAUUGUUGUGAACUGUUAUUAGAGAAGGAGUAUAGGCUUGGGUUGUGCGGAGUUAUAAGGAUGGCGAAAUGGGAUUGAGACGAAAACAAAACCUCAAGAAAUCAGUCCACCAUUUUGACGCACACAUUAUGUUCGUUAAAUGGCCUUAGAGAGUAAAAUGAUUAAAAGUUUAGAAUUUAAUGGAGCCGAGACCUUAGACGAGUCUGAUUAUGUUAAAUAAGACUUAUUUGUAAAGAAAGUUGGGUUGGAACAAGUCGUGGCGAGUUUUGGAUGUCAAAACGAGAAGUCUGAAAAACUAGUGGACUGCUGAUCCAAAAACGAAAAUUCGGGGUUAGCUAGAUUGUUUAGAAAAUUCUGGGCUUUUGGUAUGUUAUAGUACACUGAAUAAGCUUUCCAUAGACUCCAGAACGGACUAAUUCCGACUUCGGAGCAAAGACCGUUCAAAGUAGUUGCGUCAAAACUGUCCAACUCAGGAAAAUCAAGUGCAGACCUGUCUCUUAUGCGAAUUUUCUGGAAUCGCUCAAAAAUGUUUUGAAACGAAAAAGUUAUGACUGUUUUAGCGAGAGAGUGUAAAGCUGGAAAAAAGUUAAAAACUGUUAUGAUUGGGCAUUUUUAAGGCCUGUUUUGGACUGCCUAAAAUGUCCAAAAUGGGUGGCUUAUAUUUUCUAAAUAUAUUAUCUUAUGAUAUCUACUCCCUCCGUCCCAAAUUAAUUGCUCAGUUCUGACUUUUUAAAGUCAAAUUGACCAUUUUUAAAACUAAUCUUUUUACUAUUUUUGCUAAAAUAUAGGUAUAGAGAUUAUAACCAAAAGAAAGUAUAUACAAUUUAUUACUAACCCCAAUUUUUAUAAUUUUAAAAAUAUAUUUAUAUAUGCUUAAUUAUUAAUUCUAAAAAUAGUCAAUUUGACUUAAAAAAAUCAAAACUGAGCAAUUAAUUUGGGACGAAGGGAGUACAAUAUAUCCAAAACUGGGGUCAAACUAACUUACGGAUAAAAAACUACAAAAUCGCAAAGUGACCUCGUCGCGAAGAGGGCUGCUGCCCAUAGCAGCAGCGUGCAACAACAACGCAUUGCAGUGGCAGUGGUUGGAGGCUCUCUUUUGAGCUCUCAGUCGACGUGGUGAAGUUGCUUAUAUAACUUGGUUAGUAAUUUUUUUAAAUAGGGGAUUAUGUUAACUACCUUGUCUCCAAAAUGUAGCAUAUUAGAAUUCAUGGAUAGAAGUUUAGAAACUAAAGGAGGGAGCAGGGCUGCUGCCAAGGCAGCAACAGUGGGCGUGAGUGGCAUUGGCUGAGAGCUCUUCAUGGGCUUUUAGUCAGUGUACUUGUGUUGCUAUAGAUGCCCAGCUGUUGGUGUUCAAUUAUAAAUGGAUGUAACCUCUUUAAAUUAGUAAAAGGCCAUUAUAGGGGAUGUAAUGACAUGAAGUAAUGAGCAAGGAAAAAAGGGGCUGCUGCCUAUGGGCAGCAGCAGUAUCUAUAUUUAGCAUUGGCUGGGGGGCUUCCUUUGAGCUCUCGGUUAGUACCUCUAAAUUUCUAGGAUUUUCUAGCUAAUGUGCUUUGGUAAUAGAUGAAUGUACCACUUGUAUGAUAUCCAAAACUUAAGACAAAUGAAUCAAAGUUACGCGAAGUGAGGGACAAGGGAAGCAGCUGCUGCCUAUUGGUAGCAGCAAAUAGCUGCCAUAACAGUUUUAGGUGGGCUAUUUUAACUCUAGGAUGUAGUUUGAAGAUCUAACCAUAAGGUUGGGUUAAAACUUCCUAAAUAAACAAAUGUAUAGAAUUUACAUUAGAUUCAUAAUUCAAAAUAAGUGAAUCUACAAUGGAAUGGCUAGCAAGGUAAAUGUUUAAAAGUUGAGGCUAUAAAAUCAAGCAAGGCCAUGAUAGAGGGCUGUUUUGGUAUUAUGAAGAAAAAUGAGAAUAGUUAAUGCAUUAGUGUGUCAAAAUGAAACCAUAAAUCAUUGGGAAGACUAAAAGUUAAUCAUGAAAGUUGAAAAUACCUUCAAAGCAUGAAUGAGCUAAGAGAUCACUUUGUAUGCUAAAAAUUAUGUAAAAGGAUCAUGGAAUGCUCAUGUAUUAAGUUCUUGGUAGGGUAUGUAUUAUAAUUGUAAUGUGUUUCAAUACUACAAGCACAUCAAUGCUUAUUAAAGAGAAAAAUGGUUAAUGUAAGAAAAUGAAUGAGGUAUUUGAAAAAUGUAUAAAAGCUUCUCAAAAGCUAAAACCUAAACUAAUAAACAUGGCCAAUGCAAAUGUUUAUUAGCUAUACAGGAUAUAUAUUAUGGACAUGUGGCUAAUACAUUCAUGUGUGAAUAUGAUUGUAUAGGAUUUGUGAAAAGAAGUGAAGUUGUAAUUGUGCAAAGAAAGGCACAGAGGCACUAUACGACAGUAAAUUUGCAAAUAUUUACAUAUUAAGCCUGUUAAUACAUUAUAAAAGGGUUAUAAACUGUAAAUGUAAUGUAUUGACACUUUAAAAGCCGUGUUGGAACUUUUUGAGAAUGUAUGGCUAUAUUAAGCCGAAACUUAAAAUAUUCAAGAGGAAUAUGGAGGUUUCUCAAAAAUAAGAAUAUCAGAUAUUGAUAUAGUUUAUGUGAAUAUUUAUUAGCUAUACAAGUUAUGUAAUAUGAAUGUGUGACUAAUGUAUGCAUACAUGUGAACAUAACUGUGUAGGAUUCGUGAAGUGAAGUUAAACUAAAGUUUGUAUCAAUGGUCAUUGAACGAGACAAGUUUUUCAGUUCUGUUAUGUUUGUGGAUUGAAUGUGGUUAUGUGCUAAAUUACAUAUCGUGCUCUAUAUAUUGUUAAAGUCAAAAUAUAACUAAGUUAAUUGGGUAUGGAACUCAAUUUAUAUGUGAUAUGUGAAAACACAUGUUGUAUGAUGUAAUGCGAUAAUUGGAAAUGAAUAAUGCAUGAAUUUAUGCAUUGCACGGAAUUAUUGAUGCAUGUAGGAUAUGCAUAAUAAAGGAAAUAUAGUGCAUAUAGAAUUGUGUGCUAUGUGAAAUAUGAUAGACUGUUAAAUUUGCUGGGCUGUCAAGCUCAAUCUUGCAAACACAAACUUUUUGCAGGUUAAUGAUGUUAAGCGAUAUUACUUGCUAUACGGAUGAUGAAGAUUGAACGAUGUGCAAAAUGAAUACAUUUCCUUGAAUUAGAAAUGGUAUAAAUCUAUGAUUGAUAGUUUCGUCAAAUGUAAUUGGUAGUUAUGUAUAGUUUGAAAUGUUGAAUGGAUAAAGAAUGUUUAUCUUGAAACGAGAACAAAUAUGAUUCUGAAAUAAAUGAAUCAUCGAUAGAAAAGAUAUGAAGUAUUGAGACUUAAACUUUUAAUACGU